Molecule: ribosomal RNA, 506 nt
Filed under: uncultured bacterium
Lineage: Bacteria
Description: partial 16S ribosomal RNA
Rfam family: Bacterial small subunit ribosomal RNA
Source: RNAcentral
AGUGAACGCUGGCGGUAGGCCUAACACAUGCAAGUCGAACGGCAGCACAGAGGAGCUUGCUCCUUGGGUGGCGAGUGGCGGACGGGUGAGGAAUACAUCGGAAUCUACUCUGUCGUGGGGGAUAACGUAGGGAAACUUGCGCUAAUACCGCAUACAACCUACGGGUGAAAGCAGGGGAUCUUCGGACCUUGCGCGAUUGAAUGAGCCGAUGUCGGAUUAGCUAGUUGGCGGGGUAAAGGCCCACCAAGGCGACGAUCCGUAGCUGGUCUGAGAGGAUGAUCAGCCAAACUGGAACUGAGACACGGUCCAGACUCCUACGGGAGGCAGCAGUGGGGAAUAUUGGACAAUGGGCGCAAGCCUGAUCCAGCCAUACCGCGUGGGUGAAGAAGGCCUUCGGGUUGUAAAGCCCUUUUGUUGGGAAAGAAAUCCAUCUGGUUAAUACCCGGGUGGGAUGACGGUACCCAAAGAAUAAGCACCGGCUAACUUCGUGCCAGCAGCCGCAGUAA